AGGACGAACGCUGGCGGCGUGCUUAACACAUGCAAGUCGAGCGGAAAGGCCCUUCGGGGUACUCGAGCGGCGAACGGGUGAGUAACACGUGAGCAACCUGCCCUCAGCUCUGGGAUAGCUCCCGGAAAACGGGAAUUAAUACCGGAUACGACCACGGCCGACAUCUGCUGUGGUGGAAAGGAUUCCGGCUAAGGAUGGGCUCGCGGCCUAUCAGCUAGUUGGUGGAGUAACGGCCCACCAAGGCGACGACGGGUA
This 255-nucleotide ribosomal RNA is filed under the name uncultured bacterium. RNAcentral describes it as "partial small subunit ribosomal RNA". It matches the Rfam family "Bacterial small subunit ribosomal RNA", at positions 26 to 285 of the family's 1533-position model. The record is from RNAcentral.